CCCCACCCGNGUGAGUAUGAAGGCUUUCGGGUCGUAAAGCUCUGUCAAGUGGGAAGAACCUGCCUUAUGCCAAUACCAUAAGGCACUGACGGUACCACUGAAGGAAGCACCGGCUAACUCCGUGCCAGCAGCCGCGGUAAUACGGGGGGUGCAAGCGUUAUUCGGAAUUAUUGGGCGUAAAGGGCGCGUAGGCGGUCUUAUAAGUCAGAUGUGAAAGCCCGGGGCUUAACCCCGGAAGUGCAUUUGAAACUAUAGGACUUGAGUAUGGGAGAGGGAAGUGGAAUUCCUGGUGUAGAGGUGAAAUUCGUAGAUAUCAGGAGGAACACCGGUGGCGAAGGCGACUUCCUGGACCAAUACUGACGCUGAGGCGCGAAGGCGUGGGGAGCAAACAGGAUUAGAUACCCUGGUAGUCCACGCAGUAAACGUUGAACACUAGGUGUAGCGGGUAUUGACCCCUGCUGUGCCGCAGUUNACGCAUUAGGGUCCG
RNAcentral lists this ribosomal RNA (487 nucleotides) under uncultured delta proteobacterium. RNAcentral describes it as "bacterial SSU rRNA". It matches the Rfam family "Bacterial small subunit ribosomal RNA", at positions 391 to 871 of the family's 1533-position model. The record is from RNAcentral. Lineage: Bacteria; Deltaproteobacteria.